AGGCCCAGCAGCAGCAGCAGUGUAUUGUCGACUGCCCCAUGUCCUGCCUCUGGACUGUAAGAGAUGACCUGCGUCGUCCGAAGGCUGCCUUCCUGAGGACAGGAAGUCGCAGCUCAGGGAGUCGGAGCCGCAGCUCAGAGCUGGCGUGAUUCAGAACGAGAUCUCGUUCCUGAAAG
RNAcentral lists this long non-coding RNA (176 nucleotides) under Ictidomys tridecemlineatus (thirteen-lined ground squirrel). Its description in RNAcentral is "lncRNA (ENSSTOG00000030807.1)". The record is from RNAcentral. Lineage: Eukaryota; Metazoa; Chordata; Mammalia; Rodentia; Sciuridae.